Molecule: ribosomal RNA, 253 nt
Filed under: uncultured bacterium
Lineage: Bacteria
Description: partial 16S ribosomal RNA
Rfam family: Bacterial small subunit ribosomal RNA
Source: RNAcentral
UACGGAGGGUGCAAACGUUGCUCGGAAUCAUUGGGCGUAAAGCGCACGUAGGCGGCUCGUUAAGUCGGAUGUGAAAGCCCUGGGCUCAACCCAGGAAGUGCAUACGAAACUGGCGAGCUUGAGUAUGGAAGAGGGUCGCGGAAUUCCCGGUGUAGAGGUGAAAUUCGUAGAUAUCGGGAGGAACACCAGUGGCGAAGGCGGCGACCUGGGCCAAUACUGACGCUGAUGCACGAAAGCUAGGGGAGCAAACAGG